This 451-nucleotide ribosomal RNA is filed under the name uncultured bacterium. Its description in RNAcentral is "partial 16S ribosomal RNA". It matches the Rfam family "Bacterial small subunit ribosomal RNA", at positions 354 to 796 of the family's 1533-position model. The record is from RNAcentral.
GUGGGGAAUAUUGGACAAUGGGGGGAACCCUGAUCCAGCCAUGCCGCGUGUGUGAAGAAGGCCUUUUGGUUGUAAAGCACUUUAAGCGAGGAGGAGGCUACCUAGAUUAAUACUCUUGGAUAGUGGACGUUACUCGCAGAAUAAGCACCGGCUAACUCUGUGCCAGCAGCCGCGGUAAUACAGAGGGUGCAAGCGUUAAUCGGAUUUACUGGGCGUAAAGCGCGCGUAGGUGGCCAAUUAAGUCAAAUGUGAAAUCCCCGAGCUUAACUUGGGAAUUGCAUUCGAUACUGGUUGGCUAGAGUAUGGGAGAGGAUGGUAGAAUUCCAGGUGUAGCGGUGAAAUGCGUAGAGAUCUGGAGGAAUACCGAUGGCGAAGGCAGCCAUCUGGCCUAAUACUGACACUGAGGUGCGAAAGCAUGGGGAGCAAACAGGAUUAGAAACCCUAGUAGUCC